Non-coding RNA from Pangasianodon gigas (Mekong giant catfish), 72 nucleotides. Lineage: Eukaryota; Metazoa; Chordata; Actinopteri; Siluriformes; Pangasiidae. The record is from the annotation of a GenBank genome assembly.
UCCCUGGAGGACUAGUUGUUAGGCCAUAGUGCUCUCACCACAGUGGCCUGGGUUCGAUUCCUGGCCAGGGCU